UACGGGGGGGGCAAGCGUUGUUCGGAAUUACUGGGCGUAAAGGGCUCGUAGGCGGCCAACUAAGUCGGACGUGAAAUCCCUCGGCUCAACCGGGGAACUGCGUCCGAUACUGGAUGGCUUGAAUCCGGGAGAGGGAUGCGGAAUUCCAGGUGUAGCGGUGAAAUGCGUAGAUAUCUGGAGGAACACCGGUGGCGAAGGCGGCAUCCUGGACCGGUAUUGACGCUGAGGAGCGAAAGCCAGGGGAGCAAACGGG
RNAcentral lists this ribosomal RNA (253 nucleotides) under uncultured bacterium. RNAcentral's name for it is "partial 16S ribosomal RNA". It matches the Rfam family "Bacterial small subunit ribosomal RNA", at positions 524 to 776 of the family's 1533-position model. The record is from RNAcentral.